Molecule: ribosomal RNA, 253 nt
Filed under: uncultured bacterium
Lineage: Bacteria
Description: partial 16S ribosomal RNA
Rfam family: Bacterial small subunit ribosomal RNA
Source: RNAcentral
UACGUAGGGACCGAGCGUUGUCCGGAUUCAUUGGGCGUAAAGAGCUCGUAGGCGGCUGCUCAAGUCGAAUGUGAAAACUCGAGGCUCAACCUCGAGCCUGCAUUCGAUACUGGGCGGCUAGAGUCUGGUAGGGGGAUCUGGAAUUCCUGGUGUAGCGGUGAAAUGCGUAGAUAUCAUUUGGAACGCCAAUGGUGAAAACAGGUAGCUGGGAGUGUGCUGACACUGAGACACGAAAGCCAGGGGAGCGAACGGG